RNAcentral lists this ribosomal RNA (253 nucleotides) under uncultured bacterium. RNAcentral's name for it is "partial 16S ribosomal RNA". It matches the Rfam family "Bacterial small subunit ribosomal RNA", at positions 524 to 776 of the family's 1533-position model. The record is from RNAcentral.
UACGUAGGGUGCAAGCGUUAAUCGGAAUUACUGGGCGUAAAGCGUGCGCAGGCGGCUUCUCAAGUCAGAUGUGAAAUCCCCGGGCUUAACCUGGGAACUGCGUUUGAAACUGGGAGGCUAGAGUGCGGCAGAGGGGGGUGGAAUUCCACGUGUAGCAGUGAAAUGCGUAGAUAUGUGGAGGAACACCGAUGGCGAAGGCAGCCCCCUGGGCCUGCACUGACGCUCAUGCACGAAAGCGUGGGGAGCAAACAGG